CCUACGGGGUGCAGCAGUGAGGAAUAUUGGUCAAUGGACGUGAGCCUGAACCAGCCAAGUCGCGUGAAGGAUGACGGUUCUAUGGAUCGUAAACCUCUUUUAUAAGGGAAUAAAGUGUGGGACGUGUCCUAUUUUGUAUGUACCUUAUGAAUAAGGAUCGGCUAACUCCGUGCCAGCAGCCGCGGUAAUACGGAGGAUCCGAGCGUUAUCCGGAUUUAUUGGGUUUAAAGGGUGCGUAGGCGGCUUUUUAAGUCAGCGGUGAAAGUCUGUGGCUCAACCAUAGAAUUGCCGUUGAAACUGGCGGGCUUGAGUAGAUUAGAGGCAGGCGGAAUGCGUGGUGUAGCGGUGAAAUGCUUAGAUAUCACGAAGAACCCCGAUUGCGAAGGCAGCCUGCUAGGCCACGACUGACGCUGAUGCACGAAAGCGUGGGGAUCAAACAGGAUUAGAUACCCGUGUAGUC
This 460-nucleotide ribosomal RNA is filed under the name uncultured bacterium. RNAcentral describes it as "partial 16S ribosomal RNA". It matches the Rfam family "Bacterial small subunit ribosomal RNA", at positions 338 to 795 of the family's 1533-position model. The record is from RNAcentral.